RNAcentral lists this small nuclear RNA (59 nucleotides) under Procavia capensis (Cape rock hyrax). The record is from RNAcentral. Lineage: Eukaryota; Metazoa; Chordata; Mammalia; Hyracoidea; Procaviidae.
GUGCUUGCUUCAGCAGCACAUAUACUAAAAUUGGAAUGAUACAGAGAAGAUUAGCAUGG